AAAAAUCCCCUCAAAAAGCCGAUCAGCUAAGAACCUUUUGCAUGUAUCACAGUAUAGCUGCUGAAUUGUGUUCUCAGAAAGCCAAUUGUUCUCUAACAAUAAUUUAAAAAUUGCUUGGCAAACUUCGGUCUGCUGUGGAGUUGAUGUUCGUCCAAAUUCAUCAAAACUUAUAUUAAACCAUUUAUAAACUUCCCUAUGAAUUGCAUGGUACUUGUCACAAAUCUCUUUUGGGGUGCAAUUCUCCUCCAUGGCCUUGGUCUCUGUUGCUGUUCCAUACUCAUCAGUCCCACAUAUGUAUGAGGCAUUGUAGCCUCGAAGCCGGCAAUAUCGAGCAAAAACAUCAGCGCUUAAAACAGAGCCGAUGAUAUUGCCAAGGUGAGGGACGUUAUUGACAUAAGGCAAGGCGCUAGUGAUAAGUAUGUUUCUCUUGCCAGGGAUCGGGAGCUUCGGGGCCGUCUGACCCUCACCGGAGCUAUUACUGGAUGAGAGAUCUCCCAUGCCUCCGGUAGGGUUCUACAGCUCAAGUUCAAAGACUAGACGUUCACUGUUUGCUUGGAGUUGUUUCAGGCCGAGAGGCUAGAGAAUGAGAAGAGAGGCGCUUCAAUUUUAGGCUUAGUAGGGUUAAAGUCAUUUCCCUCUUU
Molecule: unclassified non-coding RNA, 641 nt
Filed under: Hevea brasiliensis (rubber tree)
Lineage: Eukaryota; Viridiplantae; Streptophyta; Magnoliopsida; Malpighiales; Euphorbiaceae
Source: RNAcentral